This is a long non-coding RNA of Haplochromis burtoni (Burton's mouthbrooder), 530 nucleotides long. RefSeq lists it as uncharacterized. The transcript has 3 exons. The record is from RefSeq and is a predicted model, not a curated record. Lineage: Eukaryota; Metazoa; Chordata; Actinopteri; Cichliformes; Cichlidae.
UGAGAGUAGCAGCCUCUAUUGACUCUGGAUCCUGGAUGGAGAAAACAAGAAGAGACCUUGAGUUCUUUCCUCAGCAGUUCAAUGGAAAUUGCUGCGGCAUCUUUAUGCUGAUGUAUGCUCUCUGCAUCAGCACCUCACCUCCACUAUCGUUCACAGAGGACAUGCCAGCAAUUUGCCUGUGGUGGUGUAUUCAGCUGAUGGAGAGAUUCUGCAUUGAGGGGUAUGGCUAGUAUUAUAGACAAACUGGCACCAUCACAAUCACAGUUUUCAAAGUUAGUAUUAAUUGCAGUUUUGGCUCCGGCAACACAUCAGGUCAAGCAAAUGUUUGUGAAAGUGGCUUAAUGUAGUCACUUAUAAACCCUGUGACUGAACACACAGAAGAGAGCAGCAGUACACAACGAGAGUCCAUUCUGACUGGCAUUGCUUUUUUUACGGCUUGGACAGAGAUUCGCCUUCUGGACAGAAGAAGCAUCCCUUCUCCUGGGAACUCUCCAGCCUGUCUUUAGGGCAGGGGCGGAGCGUGGGGGUGG